Molecule: non-coding RNA, 1431 nt
Organism: Coturnix japonica (Japanese quail)
Lineage: Eukaryota; Metazoa; Chordata; Aves; Galliformes; Phasianidae
Source: RefSeq, a predicted model, not a curated record
CAGACCUCCGCCCCCCCAGCCCCUCACUGCGGACGUCCCGGCGCGGGGUGACGGGCCCAGGAGCGGCCUUUGUGCAACGGGGAGCUCUGCUCUGCUGACUGGGCCUCGGUUUGUUUGUUUACUCGCUGCGUUGGCUCUUUGUUUAUUUGUUUGUUUGAGCUUCCGAAUGCCGAAAGCACUGCCUUGCUGCCUGUCAGGAGCUGAUCUGGUGCACUGCAAACGGGCACGGUGGUUCUGCAUUGCUGUGGUUUGUGUGCUAGUGUCCUUGGACACCAGGGUCAUAAAACCUCCUUUUUCAGUCAAGCAGCAAUAGCUCAUCUUCUAUUUAAAUCGCCGUGGUGUGCGGCCAAAUAUGAGCGAGUCUUUGUGUCUGCAUACUCAGGAGACAGGAUACACCUGUAUUCUUGUCUGUGCGCGGGUGGGAAGCCAGCUUAAAGCAAUGGGCCUUACAUGUAAAGCUCUAGCAUGGCACACAGCUGCUUUGCAGUGAGAAGCAGACAGCCGUGUGCAAGCUAAGAACAGCUAAGCCCAGACACUAACCAGCUACAACAGCACUAGCCGUGCUUUCAAGUGCUGUAGUCAAACUCAUCACCCUCCUGCUCCACUGCAACUGCACCCAGAUGCUAGAUAAUAAAUGGCACUGUACAUCUUGUCCGUGCUUGUGAUUUUAUCAUACACAGUGUUGAUUCAGCUGAAUGUGUUGAUGACACCUACUGAAACAACAAGGAGUAUUCUAAAGGUAGACAACACAGUGUGUGCUGCAGGAAGAAAAUUGGAGAUACAUUUCAGACAUAUUUGGCCUGCUCUUCCUUGCCAUAGCUUAACAUAAAAAACUGCUUUAACUUCAGGAGAGGACUUUUAUUCUGAUCAUAAUCGUUGACUAAGCGACUCCGCAGUCAGCAGAACCAGGCAUGAAAAAACAGAUCCUGCGCUAACCUCGUGACUCCUGAGGACUUUGUGUCCAAGAAUGGUGCACAGCUGCUGUUUUCCUGUCUCUGCUGGUAAUAUUUGCUUGGUGUGCAGUACUCAGGCCGGUACAGUCAUUUUUCUGCAAGCAUCUGAUUUAUCUCAAUAGGAAAUUUUUUUGCAAAUAAUAUAUCUACAUCCUUGUAAUAGUUCACCAGUAAUAAGUAUUAAACCUGAAAUAAUGUUCAGGUUAUUUCAGACACUAGAUGUCAAUGCUCAGUUUCUUUGUUAAGUAUUGAAAUUAAAAUAAAUAACUAAAUAAAUAAAGUGUUCUUAAAAAGAGAGCAAGUUUGUGGACCUUGAAAAGCAGACUGGAAAAGCAGAGAAACUCUCUCAUUCUCACCUUUUCAUUCUGUGCAUUAGCAGAAGCUGUUUUUAAUAACAGCAUAUAAAAAUGUUCUGGGACAACAAUAGUUUUUACAUGAGUGUGUGCCCUUAUGCAACAAAUAAAACUGUUACUACUCA